Molecule: ribosomal RNA, 640 nt
Filed under: uncultured beta proteobacterium
Lineage: Bacteria; Pseudomonadati; Pseudomonadota; Betaproteobacteria
Description: bacterial SSU rRNA
Rfam family: Bacterial small subunit ribosomal RNA
Source: RNAcentral
CAAGUCGAGCGGCAGCGCGGGGGCAACCCUGGCGGCGAGCGGCGAACGGGUGAGUAACACAUCGGAACGUGUCCCGUAGUGGGGGAUAACCCGGCGAAAGCCGGGCUAAUACCGCAUAUGCUCUACGGAGGAAAGUGGGGGACCUGCAAGGGCCUCACGUUAUGGGAGCGGCCGAUGUCCGAUUAGCUAGUUGGUGGGGUAAAGGCCUACCAAGGCGACGAUCGGUAGCUGGUCUGAGAGGAUGAUCAGCCACACUGGGACUGAGACACGGCCCAGACUCCUACGGGAGGCAGCAGUGGGGAAUUUUGGACAAUGGGGGCAACCCUGAUCCAGCCAUGCCGCGUGCGGGAAGAAGGCCUUCGGGUUGUAAACCGCUUUUAGUCGGGAAGAAAGGGUUUCCUUGAAUACGGGAGAUCUAUGACGGUACCGGCGGAAUAAGCACCGGCUAACUACGUGCCAGCAGCCGCGGUAAUACGUAGGGUGCGAGCGUUAAUCGGAAUUACUGGGCGUAAAGCGUGCGUAGGCGGUUCCUCAAGUUCCGUUGUGAAAGCCCCGGGCUCAACCUGGGAAUGGCAGUGGAACUAGGGGACUGGAAUCUGGCAAAGGGGGGUGAAUGCCCGUGUACCAGUGAAUGCGUAGA